This 528-nucleotide ribosomal RNA is filed under the name Salmonella enterica subsp. enterica serovar Salford. RNAcentral describes it as "partial 23S ribosomal RNA". It matches the Rfam family "Bacterial large subunit ribosomal RNA", at positions 1 to 559 of the family's 2925-position model. The record is from RNAcentral. Lineage: Bacteria; Pseudomonadati; Pseudomonadota; Gammaproteobacteria; Enterobacterales; Enterobacteriaceae.
GGGUUGUGAGGUUAAGCGACUAAGCGUACACGGUGGAUGCCCUGGCAGUCAGAGGCGAUGAAGGACGUGCUAAUCUGCGAUAAGCGCCGGUAAGGUGAUAUGAACCGUUAUAACCGGCGAUUUCCGAAUGGGGAAACCCAGUGUGACUUGUCACACUAUCAUUAACUGAAUCCAUAGGUUAAUGAGGCGAACCGGGGGAACUGAAACAUCUAAGUACCCCGAGGAAAAGAAAUCAACCGAGAUUCCCCCAGUAGCGGCGAGCGAACGGGGAGGAGCCCAGAGCCUGAAUCAGCAUGUGUGUUAGUGGAAGCGUCUGGAAAGGCGCGCGAUACAGGGUGACAGCCCCGUACACAAAAGCGCAUGUGCUGUGAGCUCGAUGAGUAGGGCGGGACACGUGGUAUCCUGUCUGAAUAUGGGGGGACCAUCCUCCAAGGCUAAAUACUCCUGACUGACCGAUAGUGAACCAGUACCGUGAGGGAAAGGCGAAAAGAACCCCGGCGAGGGGAGUGAAAAAGAACCUGAAACCGU